GACGAACGCUGGCGGCGUGCCUAAUACAUGCAAGUCGAGCGGACUUUCAAGAAGCUUGCUUUUUGAAAGUUAGCGGCGGACGGGUGAGUAACACGUGGGCAACCUGCCUGUAAGACGGGGAUAACUCCGGGAAACCGGGGCUAAUACCGGAUAAUAUCUUUCUUCGCAUGAGGAAGGUUGAAAGGCGGCGCAAGCUGCCGCUUGCAGAUGGGCCCGCGGCGCAUUAGCUAGUUGGUGAGGUAACGGCUCACCAAGGCGACGAUGCGUAGCCGACCUGGGAUGGUUUACGGCCACACUGUGACUGAGACACGGCCCAGACUCAUACGGGAGGCAGCAGUAGGGAAUCUUCCGCAAUGUACGAAAGACUGACGGAGCAACGCCGCGUGAGCGAAGAAGGUCUUCGGAUCGUAAAGCUCUGUUGUCAGGGAAGAACAAGUACCGUUCGAAUAGGGCAGUACCUUGACGGUACCUGACCAGAAAGCCACGGCUAACUACGUGCCAGCCGCCGCUGUAA
RNAcentral lists this ribosomal RNA (514 nucleotides) under uncultured bacterium. Its description in RNAcentral is "partial 16S ribosomal RNA". It matches the Rfam family "Bacterial small subunit ribosomal RNA", at positions 28 to 523 of the family's 1533-position model. The record is from RNAcentral.